RNAcentral lists this long non-coding RNA (1342 nucleotides) under Brassica napus (rape). RNAcentral's name for it is "long non-coding RNA (BNAP_LNC025610)". The record is from RNAcentral. Lineage: Eukaryota; Viridiplantae; Streptophyta; Magnoliopsida; Brassicales; Brassicaceae.
GUAGACAUUUAUUUUUGUAAAACAUAUUUUGAUUGGAUUUGUUUGUUUAAUUUGAUUCGGUUGACUGAAUGUGUUAUCUACAUAUUCUUUUGGUAUGUUCUUUUGGGGAAGAUAAUCGAAAAAGGGUCCCAUUCGAAAAAGAUAUUCGAAAAAGGUUGGGUAUUAACAUAUACGGUAUAUAAUCUAUGCGUGUCAAUCAGGAUGGAUGGGGUCAAAACGGCAAAGUUCAACGGCAAACACUUGCUUCGGAACAUUUAUGUCUAGACUAGUUUGGAUGUAAGCACAAGUUAAAGGCUUAUCUCCGACCAUGGGAACUGCAACACCGCAGGCAAUGAGGCGAUCAGGUUGGGUUGUACAUAUUAUAUUCCAUCAAAACCGGUGUUCCAAAAAAAAAAAAAAAAAAAUAUUCCAUCAAAACCGAACUAGCGCAAGACCACCUGACACAUUGUAAUUUGCAAAUAUGAACAAUGGCUUAGAAGAUAUAUAUAUAUAACUAAACAGGUAUCAGGUUAAAUAGAUAUGUAAAAUCUGGUUAAAUAGAAAUUCAAUUUUGUGAUAGAAUCUAACAAAUAAUUGGGAAUUAUGUUCCCGAUCAUCAGAGUUGCAACAACGAACGCCGUCAAUUUCGCCGGUAUAUUCUGCAAAAUCAGUCCUUGAAUUAAAUGACAAAAACUCAUGAAGUGAUACUUUCGAACAAGAACAUGCACGAUUCAACCAAAAAACUGAAAUUAAAGUUUUAAGUUUUCAAAGACAGAACUGAGUUUGACACUCGAGUAACAUUCAUGAAAAGAUAUAUCUAAGUUAUGUUGCGCAGAUGUUCAUCCAAGACAUAACUACAACUUCAGAACACGAAGAACAACAAAUCUGAAAGAAAAAUUAUCCUAAGAAUUUGGACAAUUUUUCGAUUUGUGUGUCUUCUUUGCGCAGGGGCCAUGCUAAUCGUCUCUGUAUAGUUUCAAUUUUAUUCGGAUGUUUCCGAAAGGACAAUUAUUGUGUUGACUCUAACCGUAUCUGAACACUGGUUUCUAUGCUAUGAUAAAUGAUGUGCGAAGAAGAUAACUAAAAGUUGGGCCUCUUUAGGCCAUAAAAUAUAGAGCUAAUUGGGUGAAAAACAUAAGAAGAAGCGGAAAUUAUGUAAGUGCCAUAGGAGAAAAAGUUUGGCUUACAUGGCGUACUAAGAGCAUCCACAAUGGUGACAGACAAAACUACCUCUGACCCUUGGCGACUCGACUUCCAGGUAUUAGGGUCCUAUGCCUACUCUGACAUUUGAGAUUUACUAAGAUUUAGCUAUAUCGUAGAAAGAAUUGGUUUUGAUAUUAUGAUAUUGCCUCGGUAACCGAUU